GGGCAGGUGGCGAAAUGGCAGACGCGCCAGGCUUAGGACCUGGUCCCGCAAGGGGUGGGAGUUCAAGUCUCCCCCUGCCCA
RNAcentral lists this transfer RNA (81 nucleotides) under Patescibacteria group bacterium. RNAcentral describes it as "tRNA-Leu". It matches the Rfam family "tRNA". From Rfam's summary of the family: Transfer RNA (tRNA) molecules are approximately 80 nucleotides in length. Their secondary structure includes four short double-helical elements and three loops (D, anti-codon, and T loops). The record is from RNAcentral.